GGAAGACUGGGGCUAAGGGAGGUGACACUGUUACUCCCCAGUAAGAAGGAAACACUUGUUCUCGUUUUUUCUCCAGCAUCAACCCUGACAUGCAAAACCUGUGCUGGUUCAGCAGAUGCCUGUCGUACUGCUCAAGGGACCUGCAGAGUAGACAAGGCUACAGGUGGCUGCUAUUCGACGGCAGAAGAAAUUACACUGGAUGGGGAAAAGACCAUGGGCUUCUCUAGUGGCUGUUUAGAGGACUAUAAUAUUGGCAUAAAAGGCCCCAUCACUGUCACUGUUGGGAGUGACACACAUCUGCAGACCAACACCUCCCUGUGCAACACAGACAAUAACUGUAACUCGGCCGUACCGGAAGUGCCCACGGGGAGCACCACCGAGAACGGGCUGCAGUGUCCAACCUGCCUGGAUCUGAAUUCCGCUACCUGCACCAGCACAAUCGCCCCUUGCACAGGGGAUGAGACCUAUUGCAUCGAUUUCAC
This 482-nucleotide long non-coding RNA is filed under the name Chelonoidis abingdonii (Abingdon island giant tortoise). RNAcentral describes it as "lncRNA (ENSCABG00000001586.1)". The record is from RNAcentral. Lineage: Eukaryota; Metazoa; Chordata; Testudines; Testudinidae.